Molecule: long non-coding RNA, 8860 nt
Organism: Gallus gallus (chicken)
Lineage: Eukaryota; Metazoa; Chordata; Aves; Galliformes; Phasianidae
Source: Ensembl
CGCCGCGCACCGCUCUCGCCGCGAGGUGGCGCGCUGCCGCCCGCCCCGAGGUGGGCCGGGCGCGGUGCUGCUGCUCGGGUUGUGGGCUCAGUUGGGCGGGCGGGGUUGUGAGGUGUUCAGCCGGCCUGAGGGAGAAAGGGGGAUUUCCCAAGUUAACGCGCUUUUUAAGUGUGGAAGCACAGAAGUGAAGGGGCGUCACGAGGCGGUGUGAAGAGCUUGUGGAAGGGUUGAUCCAAGUGAGGAUGCCUGAAACAAAACUGAUAGAUAAAGAGUUGUCCUUUCUGUUGUCCACAAGAUUGUUCAUUUUAAGUAGACCUAUUAACCAAAAUGGCACCGUUAUCUCAAUGGCUCGUUUUUUUUUUUCAGAUCUCACUGUAUCCCUCUCCAAGAUGAUCGGGCCCAGUGCUGGCAGGACCUGCAGCAGACUGGGGGAUUGCAGCAUACAUAUGUGAGGACUUCCUGCACCAGGGGCACCCCAGGGGAGUGCAGAGACCCACUGGGAGCUGGCGGUUCUGGUGAGAAGAACUGAGAAGACUCCAGUGGGGCCAGGAGCAGUGGCCAUCGUUCUCUGCGUGUGCAGAAGACAGCCCCAGGGACUGUGGCGAUCGGCACAUAGCGGGUCUGAUAGAGCCAAACAACUUUUAUCUAAUUCUGCUCAUUCAAGCUGGAUCACAGAAGGCUUUAACAAGGAGACUGCAAAACAUUAAAAGGGACUUUACAUCUCUUGGAAGGAUGUAGAAGAGAUUGGGAGUGUAAGUAGUGUUGUCUUCUGUCCUUCUGAUGGAGGCUGGCACCUGGGAAGGAGGAGAACAGGACAAGCGAAUGAUUGGCUGUGUGGAUGGUGCUAUACAUGGGGCUGUGGCUUCCAUGAUCUUCGACAGGCCUUUGAGGUGCUGAGCAUGUUGACUUCAAAUGAGACACAACUGACUGGGUGGGACAAGAAUGUUCUGGGAAACAAGCUGUCUGGGCUGAUCAGCAGAACUUAAAACUAGAUUCGAUGGGGAAAGGAGGUGGAUUUCAAAAUGACAAAGGAAGACUGGCGAACGCUGUCACUUUAGAAGGCAGUGGAGAUGGACUUCAGAUUUGUCCCCAAGGAACUCAGGAGGGCUCCCUGAAGAAGCUAAUACUGCUGAUUGUCUGGAUGAUGUGCCUCUAUACCAGUGCCAGCAGCAUGGGAAAUAAUCAGGAGGAGCUGGAAGACAUGGCACAACGGAAAAACUUACCUAGUUGCUAUCAAGGAAAUGUGGAAUGAAUUGCACAGCUGGAGCACAGUGAUCAAGGCCUGCAAGCUUUUUAGGAGAAAUACAGGGGGAUGGAGGGGCAGGGGAGUUGCUCUCUGCGUUAAGAAGUGGAUAGAUUGAAAAGAGCUGCCUUUGAAAAACAGCCAUGAUCAGAUGGAGAGCUCGUGGGCAACAGCAGGAACUGGUCCAUUGAAGGCCAUCUGGUGAUUGGGGUCUACUACAGGUUGCCCCAUCAAGGGGAGCUUGAGCACAAGGCCUUCUUGCUACAAAAGGCUCUCAUCCUGAUGGGAGAUUUCAACCACUCAGAUGUCUGCUGGGGAAACAACAUGAUGGGCUGCAAGUGAUUCAGGAGACUCCUGAAGUGCAUGGAUGAAUAUCAGGGACUGGUCCAACAAAGGACAUCUGAUGUUAAGGGGUCUACUACAGGCUGUGUGAUCAAGGGUAGCCUGUGGAUAAGGCCUUCUUGCUUCAGAUACAGGAAGCAUUGUAUUCACAGGCUUUCAUCCUCAUGGGGAAUUUCAGCCAUCCAGAUGUCUGCUGGGAAAGAAGCACAGUGGGUUGCAGACAAUCCAGGAGACUCUUGAAGUGUGUUGAUGAUAACUUCCUGGUCCGGGUAUUAUACAAAUUGACCUGAGGGGAAGCGUUAAAAGAUCUGUUGCUCACCAGUGUAGAGGAGAUCAUUGAGGAGGUUAAGAUAGAAGGCAGUCUGGGCUAUAUUGACCAUGCCUUGGUUGAAUUUGUGAUCUUGAGGAAUAUGGGCCUGGAGAAAAGCAAACUCAGGGCCUGAACUUGAGGAGAGAGAACUUCUGGCAGUUUAAGGAAUUAUUAGAUGAGAUCCCUUGGAAAGCUGUUGGAGUAGAGCUGGCAGCUCUUUUAAGGACACGUUUUUGAAAUCACAAGAACUCAGUAUAGGAAAACAAAAAGAGAAAGCAGGAGACUGGUAGGGCUGAGCAAGGACCUACUGGUCAAACUAAGGGAAAACAGGAACUCUCUCUUGAACUGUCUUUCUUGAACAGGGGUGCCAAAAUCUGCACACAGUACUGCAGAAUUGGCCUCACCAGAGCAGAGUAGAGGGGGAGGAUCACCUCCCUUGACCUGCUCACCACACUCUUUUUAAAGCACCCCAGGAUACCGUUAGCCUUCUGUGUCACAAGGGCACACUGCUGGACUAUGAUCAAGCUGCUGUUCACCAGUACACUCACAUCCUUCUCUGCAGAGUUCCUUUCUAUCAGAUCAGCCCCUAAUCUGUACUAGUGUGUAGAGUUAUUUCUCCCCAUGUGUAGGACUCUACACUUGCCCUUGUUGAACCUCAUAAGGUUCCUUUCUGCACAACUGUCCAGCCUGUCCAGGUCUCACAGAAUAGCAACACAGCCUUCUGGUGUGUCAGCCACUCCUAGCUUUGUAUCACCAGCAAACUUGCUGAGGGUGCACUUUAUCCCUUCAUCUAUGUCCCUUAUGAAGAUGUUAAACAAGACCAGAUGCAGUUCUGACUCCCGGGGAACACUGUUAGCUACAGGUUUCCAACUAAGACUCUGUCACUGAUCACAACUCUCUGAGCUGUACCAGUAAGCCAGUUCUCAAUCCACCUCACUGUCCAUUCAUCUGUCCCACAGUUCCUAAGCUUACCUAUGAGGAUGUAGUGGAAGACAGCAUCAAAAGCCUCGAUGAUGUCAAAGUUGACAACAUCCGGUGUUCUCUGCUCAUCUAUCCAGCUGGUCAUGGCAUCAUAUAAGGCUACCAGACUGAUCAAGCAUAAUUUCCCCUUGGAGAAUCCAUGCUCACUACUCCCGAUGACUUUCUUCUCUUCCACUUAGAAAGGCUUGGAUUCCAUGCUUGAAGAUGACAUCCAGAGUAAGUUUUCCAACCUACAAGAUUCCAUGAUUCUGUUUCUUCAUGCUUGGACUAUGUUGCCAUCUGGGAUUUUCUGGUAAUUGCCAAGAAGUUGGGAAGGUUCCAUAGCACUGCGUUUUCAAAUUUGUCCUCGGUGAACUGUCUCAUAUGCAGUGAAUUUCAUGCAACAUCCAGUAUAACAUUAGGAACUCUUCUUUAGGACUGCUACAUGGAUAGCUAAAGUGGAACAACAACCUAUAUGGCACAUGAAAUGCCAGAGUUUGUGGAGGUGCUACAGAAGAGCACAGAGGAUUAAAGUAUCUUGUUGACACUGAUGAAAAAAUAGAGGCAAAAGGCUGGACAUGUUCAUAUUGUGAGCUAACAGCUUUCUUCCAGUCAUAUAGUGAACUCCCUUAUUUUGAGACAUCCUGACAUAUGAUUUUGAUCCCUAGGUCUACUCUGAGGCAGGGGAAAGAAAUUAUAGAAGUCACUUAAGAUAUGAAGGGAAGUGGAUUAGGGAUGGAAUGGUACAAAGCAGGGGAUAGAGAUCAGAUAUAUCUCAGACAGAAGAGACUUGCCUGUUUUAAGUCUGCUGCUGCUAGCAUCGUGUGUUGAAUGAGACUCAGCAAUAGCCAGUUGCAUCUUAGAUUUCGUCCAAGUAACAAUCUAGAGUAGCUUUUGAGUGAGGAGAGAUGAAGGGAUGAGAACAUAUAGGGAUAUGUCUGCUGGAAACUGAAAACUUGAUUCAGAAAUUCACUAUUUAAAAAUGGAAUGUUGUUUUAAAUUAGAAUUAUUUUUUAUUUGCGUGGUUGUAAAUUGUUCACAGUGCAAGCGGGGUCCUCUUCCUGGGAGUUGUAAGCCUAUUAAAAGAAGUGCAGGCUCUGCUAUUUCAGCUGCCUCUUGAGGAUCCCUUAGCAGUUUAAUUGUCCUCCUGUCCAAAAGCCCAUUUCCCAGCUUGAAGGUCCCUGAUGGCCAUCAGUCAAACCAGAAGACGUCGAUGACACUUGUAGGCAAGAAAAAAGUUUAGUUACAUGCCAUGUGCACUCUGUCCGGUAGGGGGAGAUGUUGCCAAACGGCAGGAGUAUUCAAACUGGAGGAAACUGGGUUUCAUGGACGAAAACAAUGAAUGCUCCAAGGAUCACCGAGGAGACGGCUCGCUGUGGUUUUGGGAUAGCCAAGAACAACUGAGCAGAGAGCGGCAUUUCUGGGAAGAGGCAUCAGAAACUACAACAGAUACGAAGAGCUUGAUUCUCAAGAUAAUUCCUCUUCACUUGAUGAAUCCCAGGCAAGCCAAAAGGUUGGACAACCAAGAUGUCUACUCAUCCAUGCUAAACUUCAGAGAGAUCCCUCUAGUUUCUCCUGAUACCUUUGCAUUUCAUUCAGUAUGGCGUGUUGUAGAAGUGAGACUCAAACCCUGGCUUUCCUGUGCCCACAACAUUGUUACUGGAGGAGCUGGAUUCACUGAAUGGCAGAUGUCACCACAUGGACCUUCCCCACGUCACUCUCCAUCUACACCUCUGAACAUGAGAGGGGAGUGUAUCCCAUUUAGGCCACCUUCACUGGACCUGAAGUAAGGUGAGAGAGUCUGUGGGCUCUUCAUGCCCCUGCCAGAAACGUGCCUUCUAACUGGUCUCUUGAUGCCUCACCUGCAGCUGAGGCACCUGCCGCUGAGCACCUGGAGAUGCAUUCCGGCCAAGAGACUGAACACCCAAAACUAUCCAUUAGCAUUUUCCAUGAAGAGAUAAGCUCUGCUCUCUGUUGGAGUUUCACUGUAGUAGCUAGGGGUUUGGGAGACCUGGCUUUGUUUCUGGCUCUGUCAUUCAUCUUCUGCAUGGCCUUGGCAAGUCCUUUCUCUUUUCUGUGCCUGCCUUUGCCCACAUACUCCUCUUCUGAACUAAUGGCGGUACUGUGGCUGUUUGAAUCUGUGUUGUGUGAGUAAAUAAACAGUAACUGUAGAAAGGUUUGAUUUUUUUAAAAAGAUGCUGCUUGGCAAGAUCUAACGUUAACCGAAGAUGGAAAAGGUGUGGUAUCUUGAAGUUUUUCCACCUCUACUCUCUGCUUACCUUCAGUGGAAAGUUGAUUUUCAUCAGCUGAGGAACAGAAACGAGUCCCAGCCUGCUAGCACAACCACAGUGUUAGUUAGGAAUAGUCUGAAACACAUGCAGGGAGUGAAAAUAAACCCCAGCUUAUCUGUACACUGACUUUAGACAAUAAGAGUAGCUGUGGACCAGACAUCUACUGAAAGGUGUCCUGGAGCAGAAGGCAAAGUUUCCCUUCUAAACAGCUUACUUUUGCCAUCCAGGUCCUGGAAACACUCAGCUAUUUGUAAGCAUAGAAUUUUCUCUGCAAAACACUGAUGCUUUGGGGUAGGCUGAGUACUCUGCAUUGAAAUCCAGGAUACAAUGCAGUCAGUGGGUGGCCCCAGACAACUUUGAAUGGGCUUUGGAAUAGGGCCCAAGCAUAUCACAAAGAAAGGGAGAAGGAAGCUUUGCUUUAGCCAAAUCUCUGAGCAUGUGCUUCACCACUGAAAUUAGUAAGAAUUAAGCAUAUACUUAAGUAUUCUGCUGACACUUACCUUAACCACCGAGUAACAAAUACUGUCUUGCAGAGACUCUGCUUAAAAGAGAAAAAUGCCUUUUACGUGUCAAAGAGGGACAUAACAUUUAAAAUGGCAUUUCAAAUUUCUUUUAUUUUUUAGUGACAUAGCAAAAGCAGUAUUUGGCCCUGUGCUGCUUGGAACGAGGACAUUUCAAAUUAUUACCAACUGCAGCUUCUCUCUGCAUCAUUUUGCAUUAUGCAGUUUAAUGGCUGCCUGCUAGAAAGGCAUCUUCUCUGCUUCAGUCAUCUAACAGGAUUUUUGGCAUCCAGCUCAUCAGAUGGGUUAUUUUCUUUAACCAUAUUCCUGUAGGACUGCAUCUUUUAAGCAUCCUGCUGCGUUAUUUUGGCACAACCUUUAUAUCUCUUCAUCUUAUUGUUUCUGGAAUUCCUUUUCUCUUUGUAUCAAGUGAUGUUGCUGUGUGUGCUUUUUCUAACAAAUCUUGGUGGAAGAUCAGAAAAACAAACAAACAAAAAAGGCUAAUGUAUCCUAAGGAUUGAUAAUUUCAGGGUCAAAAGAGAUUUUAAGUGCUGAUCUUCUUGCACCCGCUGAUGAAUCUUUCCGACCAAGAAGCUGGUGUAUCGUAUCUAGCUGGCAGCACACAGAACACAUUAGGAAAACAAAGAGAAUGUGAGAUUAAGCCGAAAACAGGCAAGAGAGGCAUUUUCUCACUGUUCUGCAUGAAGGCAGAAGAUGCUUCAAGAGGAUACAACCUCGGUUUUCUUGUUGGAACUAUGGCCUCUUCCCCCCAUCAGAUUAUUCAAAGGCGACCUUGGGAAAAGAAAUCACUGGCUGGGCUGAAAGCCGGCUAUACACGGGGCCACAAUGACUCUUACUACCAGCAGAGGGAGCAAGGGACAUUUCAGGAUGAAAAACCCUCUCCAUGACCUGAGGCUUUUUGGAUGAAUGUAAUUUUCCCUUUUUUUUCCAGAAGUAUCAUGGCAGUGUACAGUUGUCCCAGGUAUUUAGAAGCAGGAGAAGAAACAGAUCUACAUCCCAGAGGAGUCUCCCUGGCGUUUUUGAUCCUGGACACUGCAGGCACGCUCUGCCACACUGGAGUGGUAUUGGGCAUAAGCAAGAGAAACUUUGAGGAUGAACCUGCUAAUGUUGAGCUGACACACACCGAGUUAUUCCUGAUUGAUACCAGACGAGGCAACAUCACUGAAGUCAAGUGAGAACAGGACACUGCUGAAGUACUGCCUUCUAAAGGAGACUGACCCGAGACGUGUGGCAUCAUUAAAUUGGGAAUGAUGCUGGACAUGCACUGCAACCACACAAGUGAAAGGAGCCUCCCUGUCUAUGUUCUGCCCAAAGACACAACAUGUCCUCCCUAGAUGUUUGAUUUGGGGAAGGACAAGGGAAAGAGAGAACACCGAUUUCCACAAGCCAUGUUGCCUUCUAGUCAUAAGAGACUCAGUAUCAGUAUGAAAACAGACACUGCAUUCCUUCUGACUGAUUGCAGGAGCACAACGACACUGUCUGGGCCUCUGGAAAGCCAUCCAGAAGCCACAGAAUGACUUUGGGUCUCCUCUGUGCAUGUAACCUUUGUGCCAUUUGCGAGGGCAUGUACUGGAUGAAGAAUGCCUGGGCUAUUAGUGUGGUAUGUAAGUGGCUGUUCCAGGGAGCUGCAUAUACCAGAGUGAGUAUUUACCCUGGCUUUCCAAGUGAGAUCCUUCUACCUUCUUUCAUAUCAUCCUCUUGUUCAUCAUAUUGUGCAGACAGUUGAGGCAUCGUGUUUUGCUGCUUUUCAAGUUGUAGCACUGGGGUGUUGUGCUGGGGUUAAGAAAUAAAGAAUAUGAACAAUAAAACUAUGGAUACAAAACUAACACAGCUGGAAAGAAAGCCUACCAGGGGAGAUGCCCUACUAGACCUGCUGUUUAUGAAUAGAGAAGGAAUGAUGGAAGAUAUGGUGGAUGGAAGCUGUCUUCACAGAAUGACUACAAAAUGCUCCUGUAGCUGGAGCACAAACACGAGUUAUAAUCUUCAAACAACAACUCUAAAGAAGCUGGUCUAGCUUUUCCCUGACUGGGGACCACAUCUCAGAUAGACCUUUCUCAGCACAUGUAAAAGGCUUUGGUGUUGUCCCAGAUUGCAUACCCCAUGGAAGAAAUGUUUCUACUAGAUACAGUAACUUGUCCCCUUUUCCUGACACUAAUGGAACAUCUAAAACACAACAGUUGAUCAGGCGAUGCACCUGAAAAUCUGCUAUACAUGUUGUGGCAAGCUUGGUAUUAACAACUUGCCAUGUACUGAUUUUCUGGUUCAGAAGUGGCAGAUUUCUUCACUUGUUGUCAGUCUUUCUUCAGGUGAGCUUUUUGCCACCCCACAGCAUCUACCUCCUUGUCAUCCACACAACUCCUCUCACUCUCCAUGCAAAGUGGAGUUUCUAGGCCAAAUCCACCUUUGUUUUUUGUUCUCCUUCAGUUCUAGGUCCGUACAAGAUCCCUGGAAAUACAAGUUAGACAGGUGAAGGCUGAGAUGAAAUUAGAUGUGAUAUGACACUUCUUCAAUGAGAACUACUGGUGAUAGGCAGACAGGUGGACUGAAUCUUCUUCUCUGAAUCUAGACUGAACACAGCUCCUGGCAGCCUUGUGCUAGGCUGGAAGCACAGAAGUGCCAACUUUUUCUCUGCUGAAGACACAGGAAUGAGAUCAUGUAGUGCCUUGCAUUUUUAAGGGUUUCUGAUGAUAGAGGUAACCUUACAUCCUUUUUUUUCCUACAAAGGCGCAUUGCAGAAAAUAAGCUGCUUUCUGUCCUUUAAAAGAUGAAAGCAAAUGCCUUCCUAGGAAUGGCACCAGAAGAUAACUUUGAAGAGUACACCUGAUGUUACCUUCCUCCUGUGGCUGAUCAAGAAAUCUUUCCCUGUGGUUUUCUCUCAUGGCAGAGUUUUCUGCAUCCUUCUUGAAUGUGUGUAGGCCUGGGUUCUGAGCACAGAACCCAGAACUUCCCUUGUAACCAGCUGUAGAAGCUCCUGUUUAGUUAAGGUGAGGUCUGUGGACUUGUCCACAAUCUAAUAAAGGCUGAAGUGGUUAUGGUAGCACCAUAAGAUACUAUCCUGAAGUAGUGCACUCAGUGCCACGCAUAUUAAUAAAGCUGAAUACUUUCUUAUGGUGUCGAUUAGUGGUCUUCUGUCUCCCUUCUCCUGAAGUUCUAGCAGACAAGUAGGUGAAAGAUCAUGAAAAUGUCUCCUGAA